CAGAAUGUUCCUUGCUGCAGAUGCAUUGGCCCCAUCUGCAGGUCCUCUUUGACACCUACCUUACUCUCUCCCUCCACUCACACUCUGAGAACUGUGCUCAGGGGCAGCGCUACAACUUCCACAUUGGUCUUUACAGGGCUUGAGUGAUUAUUUCAAGAACAGAACGCUGUGUGGAAACCUUUACCAUAUUUCGUUGUAUCUAAGACACAUUUUUUUUUUUUGAAAUUUAACAUCUCUAAGGUUGGGUUAUGUUUCUUCAUCAUUGUCAGGUUGGAGCUUAAUCAGCAGCACUUUUUUUUAAUGUCACACACAGUAAUGGUGAUGCAUCUCACAAUUGAGAUCAUCUUAGACAUGAUGGAAUAUGGAAUCGUGUGCCUGUUACAAGCCAGGCUCUUGUCUGGGUUCUAGAGACGGUGGAAACCAAGACAGCACCAUCCUCUAGUGGUGUUCACAUCCCACCACAGUGGAGUCAGGACUUUGAAGUCCUCCAUUGGAUCUUCUCGGAAGAUGAGGGAAAUGAGAGAGUGUGGAGAGAGAUUUUGUAAGUCCGGUCUGGAAGUGGUCAUUGUUCAGAAUCCAGCCACGUGGGUACAUGGAACUGUAAGGUAUGUGAGACACCAACCAGAGUUCGUAAUUCUAAUGACCUCUCCAGAUUUAUGGCUGCAGCAUUCCCAAGAAGGGGUAGGGAGGGGCAUAUAAUGAGCUACCCUCAGGGGAUCAGAAAGAAAAGGGAAGCUGUCUCUUAGCGAAGAAUAAAACUGUGGACUGACCCCCACCCAUUUGCGAAGAAAGUACUGGGUCUUCAGCUUUCAUUGUUCAGCCGGUGGUCUUUGUGGACAACACCAGGGGCCCCUCCUGCUGAAGACUGUCUGGACUUCCUGAUUUUCACUCCUGUAUAAACCCCCUCCCCCAUUACUACCUUUGUCUCCUUGGGGAAAAAAAAUGUUUUUCACUUAAGCAAAAUAAUAACUACCCAGUAUUUGUUUCUGGAGUGAAAUUGUAAACUUCAUUGUACAUUCUUCCUGGCUUUGAUGCUUAUCGUGAAGAGUUCAGUGAAAAUAAAUUGUUUUUAUGAAAGCAGAGAAACCAUUUGAUA
This 1096-nucleotide long non-coding RNA is filed under the name Homo sapiens (human). Its description in RNAcentral is "HSALNT0386071". The record is from RNAcentral. Lineage: Eukaryota; Metazoa; Chordata; Mammalia; Primates; Hominidae.